UGGGUGUGUAGGCGGAAGCUCGCUGGCUGGAGCAUCUAGCUGUUAAUUAGGGUUUUGUGGGAUCGAGGCCCAC
RNAcentral lists this transfer RNA (73 nucleotides) under Bucco macrodactylus. Its description in RNAcentral is "tRNA-Asn". The record is from RNAcentral. Lineage: Eukaryota; Metazoa; Chordata; Aves; Piciformes; Bucconidae.